CCAAGGAGUCUAACAUGUGCGCGAGUCAUUGGGCGGCAAACCCAAAGGCGGAAUGAAAGUGAAGGGAAGCCCUGCUUUCUGAGGGAGGAUGGGCGUGACAUGCCGACACGGCGGCGCCCCGCACUCCCAGGGCGUCUCACACUCAUUGCGAGUGGAGGCGCACCUAGAGCGCCCACGUUAGGACCCGAAAGAUGGUGAACUAUGCCUGGUGAGGACGAAGCCAGGGGAAACCCUGGUGGAGGUCCGUAGCGAUUCUGACGUGCAAAUCGAUCGUCGGAGCUGGGUAUAGGGGCGAAAGACUAAUCGAACCAUCUAGUAGCUGG
This 323-nucleotide ribosomal RNA is filed under the name Gelastocoris oculatus. RNAcentral describes it as "eukaryotic LSU rRNA". It matches the Rfam family "Eukaryotic large subunit ribosomal RNA", at positions 666 to 954 of the family's 3401-position model. Lineage: Eukaryota; Metazoa; Arthropoda; Insecta; Hemiptera; Gelastocoridae. The record is from RNAcentral.